CCUACGGGUGGCAGCAGUGGGGGAUAUUGCACAAUGGGGGGAACCCUGAUGCAGCGACGCCGCGUGGGCGAUGGAGUGCUUCGGCAUGUAAAGCCCUAUUAGCAGGGAAGAAAAUGACGGUACCUGACUAAGAAGCACCGGCUAAAUACGUGCCAGCAGCCGCGGUAAUACGUAGGGGGCAAGCGUUAUCCGGAUUUACUGGGUGUAAAGGGCGCGUAGGCGGCCUGGCAAGCCAGAUGUGAAAUACCGGGGCCUAACCCCGGGGCUGCAUUGGGAACUGCCAGGCUGGAGUGCGGGAGAGGCAGGCGGAAUUCCUGGUGUAGCGGUGAAAUGCGUAGAGAUUAGGAGGAACACCAAUGGCGAAGGCGGCCUGCUGGACGAUGACUGACGCUGAGGCUCGAAAGCGUGGGGAGCAAACAGGAUUAGAUACCCCGGUAGUC
RNAcentral lists this ribosomal RNA (440 nucleotides) under uncultured bacterium. Its description in RNAcentral is "partial 16S ribosomal RNA". It matches the Rfam family "Bacterial small subunit ribosomal RNA", at positions 338 to 795 of the family's 1533-position model. The record is from RNAcentral.